CCCUUAGAUGUUCGGAGCUGCACGCGCGCUACACUGACGGAGGCAGCGAGCAUGUCCUUCGCCGAGAGGUGUGGGGAAUCUUGUGAGUCUCCGUCGUGCUGGGGAUAGAUGGUUGCAAUUGUCGAUCUUGAACGAGGAAUUCCUAGUAAGCGCGAGUCAUCAGCUCGCGCUGAUUACGUCCCUGCCCUUUGUACACACCGCCCGUCGCUACUACCGAUUGGAUGGCUUAGCGAGAAUUUUGGAUCGGAGCCCGGGUGGUCGGCAACGGUCGCCCGGGAGAUCUGAGAAAUCAUUCCAGCUUGGUCAUCUAGAGGAAGUAAAAGUCGUAACA
RNAcentral lists this ribosomal RNA (331 nucleotides) under uncultured eukaryote. RNAcentral describes it as "partial 18S ribosomal RNA". It matches the Rfam family "Eukaryotic small subunit ribosomal RNA", at positions 1470 to 1796 of the family's 1831-position model. The record is from RNAcentral.